UGAAAUUGAAAAUAAUUUUAGGAAAAAUAAGUGAAAAUUUGGGUUGGGCGGGUAUUUUUGAAAGAAAAUUUAAAAAUUGAGGGUCAUAACGCAAUUAAAGAAAAUUGCGCCACGUAGGACUGCCUAGUUAGCAACCUCGACGAACUGGAAUGCACUGCAUGGCAAGACACGCUGACUCAGUGCCACGUAGGAGGCCAUGCUAGCAAUCUGCAUGCCCCGGGAUCGGAAGGCCCGGAAGCGUUCCCACGUGCGUAGACGGUCUGGAUUUGUUCUCUCCUCAAGUGCAAUCGGAUAGCUGCUAUUAAAUGCGAAGAAUGGCCCAGCUUUGUUCCCUCUUUUAAUGCCAUUGUACG
This 353-nucleotide long non-coding RNA is filed under the name Carica papaya (papaya). RNAcentral describes it as "long non-coding RNA (CPAP_LNC015909)". Lineage: Eukaryota; Viridiplantae; Streptophyta; Magnoliopsida; Brassicales; Caricaceae. The record is from RNAcentral.